Molecule: long non-coding RNA, 630 nt
Filed under: Homo sapiens (human)
Lineage: Eukaryota; Metazoa; Chordata; Mammalia; Primates; Hominidae
Description: HSALNT0278450
Source: RNAcentral
GUUCAAAUUUCUCCACAUCCUAGCCAACACCUGUUACUGAUUUUUUUAUUAUAGCUUCCCUAGAGAGUACACAGUACACAAAAAUACAUGGCAUUUGGAAAGCAAAAUCUUGAGUUAAUAGUUUUAUUCCCUGAAAAUGUAUUAAUAUAAUGAAAUUAAACUUACAUUGAUUCUUCUUUAGAUACCACCUUGGCCAGGUCUUCCUGCUCCUUCAUUUUAUCCGCAACCUUAGUAUCCCGAGUAGCUGGGACUACAGGCACGGGCCACCAAAUCCGGCUACUUUUUGUAUUUUUUGAAGAGAUGGGAUUUCACCAUUUUGCCCAGGCUGGUCUUGAACUCCGGGGCUCAAGUGAUCCACCUGCCUCGGCCUCCCAAAGUGCUGGGAUUACAGGCGUGAGUCACUACGCCUGGCCUAUUGUUUUUUUUUCCCCCCCAAAUAAUUUUGAUCUGCAAUUGGUUGAAUCCAUGGAUGCAGAACCCCUGGAUACAGAGGGCUGAGGAAAGUAAAGCUCAUAUAAGUUAAGGAAUGUGGCCAAGGUCACACAGCCAAUACAUGGCAAGGCCAGGAUUCAAACCCUGCACCUGCCUCCAGAGCUGGUGCUCCGCAAUGCUUCGCUGUAUCUGAAAACU